GACGAACGCUGGCGGCGUGCUUAACACAUGCAAGUCGAACGAGACGAUUGAAAGCUUGCUUUUAAAAGUCGAGUGGCAAACGGGUGAGUAACGCGUAGACAACCUGCCUUUGAGAUGGGGACAACAGUUCGAAAGGACUGCUAAUACCGAAUGUUGUAUAUUUUCCACAUGGAAGAUAUAUUAAAGAUGGCCUCUAUUUAUAAGCUAUCGCUCAAAGAUGGGUCUGCGUCGGAUUAGCUAGUUGGUGGGGUAACGGCCUAACAAGGCGACGUUCAGUAGCCGGUGUGAGAGGAGGAACGGCCAUAUUGGGACUGAGACACGGCCCAGACUCCUACGGGAGGCAGCAGUGGGGAAUCUUCCACAAUGGACGAAAGUCUGAUGGAGCAACGCCGCGUGAGUGAAGAAGGGUUUCGGCUCGUAAAGCUCUGUUGUCGGGGACGAAUGUGCAGUAUUUGAAUAAAGUACUGCAAUGACGGUACCUGACGAGGAAGCCACGGCUAACUACGUGCCAGCAGCCGCCGCGG
This 524-nucleotide ribosomal RNA is filed under the name uncultured bacterium. Its description in RNAcentral is "partial 16S ribosomal RNA". It matches the Rfam family "Bacterial small subunit ribosomal RNA", at positions 28 to 523 of the family's 1533-position model. The record is from RNAcentral.